AUUGAACGCUGGCGGCAGGCCUAACACAUGCAAGUCGAACGGUAACAGGAAGAAGCUUGCUUCUUUGCUGACGAGUGGCGGACGGGUGAGUAAUGUCUGGGAAACUGCCUGAUGGAGGGGGAUAACUACUGGAAACGGUAGCUAAUACCGCAUAACGUCGCAAGACCAAAGAGGGGGACCUUCGGGCCUCUUGCCAUCGGCUGUGCCCAGAUGGGAUUAGGGAGUAGGUGGGGUAACGGCUCACCUAGGCGACGAUCCCUAGCUGGUCUGAGAGGAUGACCAGCCACACUGGAACUGAGACACGGUCCAGACUCCUACGGGAGGCAGCAGUGGGGAAUAUUGCACAAUGGGCGCAAGCCUGAUGCAGCCAUGCCGCGUGUAUGAAGAAGGCCUUCGGGUUGUAAAGUACUUUAAGCGGGGAGGAAGGGAGUAAAGUUAAUACCUUUACUCAUUGACGUUACCCGCAGAAGAAGCACCGGCUAACUCCGUG
Molecule: ribosomal RNA, 490 nt
Filed under: uncultured bacterium
Lineage: Bacteria
Description: partial 16S ribosomal RNA
Rfam family: Bacterial small subunit ribosomal RNA
Source: RNAcentral